Molecule: RNase P RNA, 341 nt
Filed under: human gut metagenome
Description: Bacterial RNase P class A
Rfam family: Bacterial RNase P class A
About the family: Ribonuclease P (RNase P) is a ubiquitous endoribonuclease, found in archaea, bacteria and eukarya as well as chloroplasts and mitochondria.
Source: RNAcentral
AGCAGGCCGGACAGCUGCGGGCAGUGCGCGAAAGCGCCUGUCCGAGGAAAGUCCGGGCUCCAUAGGGCAAGAAUAACGGCUAACGGCCGCCGGGGGCGACCCCAGGGAAAGUGCAACAGAGAGAUACCGCCUGUUUUACAGGUAAGGGUGGAAAGGCGAGGUAAGAGCUCACCGGCGUCAGGGGAACCUGACGGCCCUGCAAACCCUAUUCGGAGCAACACCGUGGAGAGACACAUGCGCCGGCCCGGCGCGUCUUGCGGAGGUGGCAUCGAGCGUGCGCGGCAACGCGGCGCCAAGAUAGAUGGCUGUUCAAGACAGAACCCGGCUUACAGGCCUGGUCG